Molecule: long non-coding RNA, 513 nt
Filed under: Carica papaya (papaya)
Lineage: Eukaryota; Viridiplantae; Streptophyta; Magnoliopsida; Brassicales; Caricaceae
Description: long non-coding RNA (CPAP_LNC014510)
Source: RNAcentral
AACAGGUAAAAAAACACAUUCAACCUUGUAUUCUUUCCACAGGCUUUUAGCAGUCUACUGAUCAAUUUCCUCCAUCUUAGUCUCCUGGAAACAAAUAACAUCUGGCUUCCACCUUCUGAUGCACUUUGAUAACCUCUUUUUUCCUCCUAUCAUUCAGCUCUCGAUCAUUCCAAGAUAUUAUCUUCUCUAUCAUGGAUGCUUACAUCGUUGCUCUGGAUCCCCUCUCCCUUCCUUCCACUCUUCUUUCUCUCAUAAUUUAUAGACCACUUCAUUCUUUUUAAUUCCCUACUGCCUCCUUCCCCCUGCUUCUUUCCUAUUUUUUUUUCUUUCCUAUCAUUCUUCUCUGAUUCAGUAAAGUCUUGUUCCAUUUCCUCAAACAACUUAAAAAUUUUAAAUUCAAGACCAUCAAUAGUCAUACCAAACAUCUUACUAACCUUAGAGAAGUUUCUCCGAACCCAAUAAGAAUACUGACUCUCCCAACCAACAUUUUCCUCCAUUACCCGAACAGCUUCG